AAAUUGUUUUUGUGGGGAUGGGG
RNAcentral lists this non-coding RNA (23 nucleotides) under Cricetulus griseus (Chinese hamster). Lineage: Eukaryota; Metazoa; Chordata; Mammalia; Rodentia; Cricetidae. The record is from RNAcentral.